GGGAUUGUAGUAUAGUGGUCAGUACUUCUCGUUGUGGUUUCUCGCAACGAUCCGAGAGGACCCAGGUUCGAUUCCUGGUGAUCCCA
Neurospora sp. IMI 360204 is the source of this 86-nucleotide non-coding RNA. Lineage: Eukaryota; Fungi; Ascomycota; Sordariomycetes; Sordariales; Sordariaceae. The record is from the annotation of a GenBank genome assembly.